This 257-nucleotide ribosomal RNA is filed under the name uncultured prokaryote. RNAcentral describes it as "partial 16S ribosomal RNA". It matches the Rfam family "Bacterial small subunit ribosomal RNA", at positions 524 to 780 of the family's 1533-position model. The record is from RNAcentral.
UACGGAGGAUCCGAGCGUUAUCCGGAAUUAUUGGGUUUAAAGGGUGUGUAGGCGGCCAUUUAAGUCAGCGGUGAAAUUUUGCAGCUUAACUGUAACAGUGCCGUUGAUACUGGGGAGCUAGGAUUUGGUUGCUGUGGGUGGAAUGUGUGGUGUAGCGGUGAAAUGCUUAGAGAUCACACAGAAUAUCGAUUGCGAAGGCAGCUCACAAAGCCAAGAUUGACGCUGAGGCACGAAAGUGUGGGGAUCAAACAGGAUUA